This 898-nucleotide ribosomal RNA is filed under the name uncultured fungus. RNAcentral describes it as "SSU rRNA". It matches the Rfam family "Eukaryotic small subunit ribosomal RNA", at positions 562 to 1464 of the family's 1831-position model. Lineage: Eukaryota; Fungi. The record is from RNAcentral.
UUGUGCCAGCCGCCGCGUAAUUCCAUGCUCCAAUAGCGUAUAUUAAAGUUGUUGCAGUUAAAAAGCUCGUAGUUGAAACUUGGGUCUGGCUGGCGGGUCCGCCUCACCGCGUGCACUCGUCCGGCCGGGCCUUCCUUCUGAAGAACCUCAUGCCCUUUACUGGGCGUGUUGGGGAAUCAGGACUUUUACUUUGAAAAAAUUAGAGUGUUCAAAGCAGGCCUUUGCUCGAAUACGUUAGCAUGGAAUAAUAAAAUAGGGCGUGCGUUUCUAUUUUGUUGGUUUCUAGAGACGCCGCAAUGAUUAACAAGAACAGUCGGGGGCAUCAGUAUUCAGUUGUCAGAGGUGAAAUUCUUGGAUUUACUGAAGACUAACUACUGCGAAAGCUUUUGCCAAGGAUGUUUUCAUUAAUCAGUGAACGAAAGUUAGGGGAUCGAAGACGAUCAGAUACCGUCGUAGUCUUAACCGUAAACUAUGCCGACUAGGGAUCGGGGCGAUGUUCUUUUUCUUGACUCGCUCGGCACCUUACGAGAAAAUCAAAGUUUUUGGGUUUCUGGGGGGAUUAUGGGUCGCAAGGCUGGAACUUAAAGAAAUUUGACGGAAGGCCACCACCAAGGCGUGGAGCCUGCGGGCUUAAUUUUGACUCAACACGGGGAAACUCACCAGGUUCAGAUGAAAUAAGGAUUGACAGAUUGAGAGCUUCUUUCUUUGAUUUUUCAGGUGGUGGGUGCAUGGGCCGGUUCUUAGUUCGUGGGGUGGACUUUGUCUUGCUUAAUUGCUGAUAACGAAGCGAGGACCUUAACUUCUGCUAAUUAGCAGGCUAGCUUUGGCUUGUCGCCGGCCUCUUUAGAGAGACUAUACACUUCCAGUUGAGUGGAGUUUUGAGGCGAUAACAGCUCUG